Long non-coding RNA from Centropristis striata (black sea bass), 1590 nucleotides. RefSeq lists it as uncharacterized. Lineage: Eukaryota; Metazoa; Chordata; Actinopteri; Perciformes; Serranidae. The record is from RefSeq and is a predicted model, not a curated record. The transcript has 5 exons.
UAAUUAAUUCAGGUUUAACGUAAUGACUUGUCAAAAAUGUCAAAUUUUCUUGGGGGAAAACCUCCAAAUUCAAUACAUUCCUUAACCUUCCACAAACUUUGGGAAAACACUGUACUUGACAAAAACUUGCUGUCAAAAAGUGACAUUUUUAAAGAAACUGUGUUAAAGAAACUGACAUAUUCAGUCUCUUUAUUAAAACAUGUAGUUUUAUGAUGAUGUCUUUUGACUGGCUUUACUAUUUUUUUCCUGUCUGCCUCUGGACUUUCAGCUUAACACCCUCGACUGUGUGUAAAGUGGUGAAUGAGGACACGACAGAGAUGGUGAAGAGGAACAAUUACCUGCGCUGCAAUCAGAUUUGCAAGAAGAAUCUUCAGGAUCCAGUCUGUGUUCAGCAGUGAAGACAUGUAAAGUUCGUGCAGACAGACGGAGAGCGCGGGGCACGACCUCACCCGAGUUUGUCCCGGCCUGUCAGAGACGUUUAAGCCACUGAGCAUCAUCCCUCUGGGAGCCCGGCGCUCGCCCGAGAUGUCUCCUGCUCUCUGGGACUCGUGCAGCGCUUCGAGUCAGACGAGUCCAGCAGUCUGCAGGAGGUGUGGAGGUCUCACUGCCUGCUUCAGAGCCGGGCUUUAUUCCAUCUGAGUCCACUGAGACCUGCUGAGAGCGGACGGGCUUUGGUCUUUCAGGCUGCGGUGAAUUUAUCAGAACAGAGUGGACAGCGAGGAACCGGGUCUCACCCCGGUGCCAGAAACACCUCCUGGGUGCCAAAUGGACUCGAGUCCCACAAAACAAGCACGACUUCUGACAGCAACAUCCAUCCAGAAAGCUGUUUUUAAGAGGGGACCUUUAAGUCGAAAUGUCCUUUAUUUUCUUCUUACACAACCCCAAAGGAUGACAAACUUAGAGAAAUACAACUGAAUACUUCACACAAAACAUACUCGUAUAAUUCACACUAAACAAGAAUAUUAUCGGUUUAAUUGUUUCCCAUAUUGUUUUACUUUUGUAAAGAAUUAUAUAUUGUGCAAAACAACACAUGCAUUCUAAAUGAGGUUUUAAAAAAGUUCUCUUAUUAAUAAAUCUUAUCAUAAUAUUAAAUUGUAUCAUGGAAAAUUUAUUUACCGGUAUAUUGACAAAGAAAAAUGUCAUCAUUUUUAAAUUUUUCAUUUUAAUUGAAAUUUAAUAAAAUAAAUUGGUUUUUUUUUUUUUUUUAAAUGUCACUCUUUUCACCUGCCAUAAAUGCACCUCACGAUCUUAUUCUAAGAUAAGAUCUAAGAUUCUAAGAUAUUUAAUAUUUUUAAUUUAAGGUUAAAAAUGUAUGUAAUACUGUUUGUUUUGCUUUAUAAAAAACACAACUACAUCCAUAAAGCAAAAUUUCUUAAUUCAGCUGGUCUUUUAAGUUAUUAUAUAAAAUUGAAUGUUAUUUUAAGCCUCUUUAAUUUGCAUGUCAGAAGCAUACAUUUACUGGCAAAUGUGUCUGAAGAAGUCUUUUAUUUUAAUUCAAUAUUAUUCAUUUAUGAAAUGGUAUCACCAGUUUGUACAAUAUUUUAAGCAAUUAAAAAAAACGACCAAAAACAGCCCUUUCAGAUGCAUGUG